Non-coding RNA from Coturnix japonica (Japanese quail), 3216 nucleotides. The record is from RefSeq and is a predicted model, not a curated record. Lineage: Eukaryota; Metazoa; Chordata; Aves; Galliformes; Phasianidae.
GUGUUUAUCCAGUUCCCUGUAGAUUGAUUUUAAUGUGUGUUUAUUUUUAUGCUGCUGCCUCUGUGGAAAGCAGGAGCUGGAAAAAAAAAAUAAAACCCUCUGGCACAGCUGUACAGCUGUCCCUAACCAAUACUGUAAGGACAUUCAAUAGUACUACCAAAUACAUUUCUAAUACUCAGUAGCUGCCGCACAUUUAUUCUGUGCAUGCCUCUCCUCCUUUUGCUCAGCUUGGUUUCUGGUUCCUUUGCUAUUGUCGCUCUUGAUCAUUAACAGACCAGUGGCAUAUUGCACUCACAGCUGGCAUGGUGCUUUCCUGUCUAUAUGCCUUCAUGUAAGAAAGGCACUGAAUCGAUGCCUUGCCAGUGUGCCUAAAGGUUGAAGGAAUAACUAAAAAACUGCUGACACGUGCUUGUUUUCUCAAAAUAAACCUUGUGCCCGUGACGUUAUAAGCUCCAACUGCCCAGGGGAUUUCUUCCUCCGGCUGUGUGGAAGUUGACAGUGAAAAGAAACCUUCUGACAUGGAAAUCCUUUCCUUUCUCCAGGUUGUUUUCCUACUAACCAAGAUCACUGCCAGAGCUACAGUGCAGCAAGGGGAGCCAGGCCUCCCACCCAGCCCUGUGCCAGUGGAGGCCUCACGGCCAGGCCCACCCUGGUUCCCUGCAGAGAGCCCUAUUUCCAGUCCCAUCUCCAGCCCUGCAGGCCCUAGGGUGGGGCUGGGGCAGCUGCUGUGUGGUAGGCCUUGAUGCUCUGGAAGACUUACGAUUCCAUGAACACCAACAUGCAGCUCAGGGCACCUUGGUGCUACAUGAUUGGAACAGGGAUGCGGCAUGAGCUGCAGGAAAAUGGUGUCUCAGGCCAAAGAGCUCCUGAGGCUUUGUAUGGAACACUUGUGCUUUCACUUGAACUCUUGCCUACAGGGUUUGAGGUGGAAGCUUCUGUGCCUUCUGGUGCUUUUCCCAUAGGGUCUGACAUAAAGAACUGAAAAUCAGGUGGAAUACCCAGGGCUUCUAACUUGCUUUGCAAAAACAGAGUGUAAUGUGCUGAAAUGGGAGUGUCAGACUUUGGCUUUCUUAAAUUUCCUGCCUAUUGUUGAUUUAUAUCAGAUCUUUAAAGCUAUUUAAACACAGUGUGUUGUUUGCAUUUCCUCAGUAAAAAUGAGUGAAAAGGAUGACAUGUUUCAUUGAAGUUUUAUACGUGCAUUAUUGUCAGAAAGACCCAAGGGGUUCUUCUGGUGUCAGCACAUCCAUAGGGCACUUGUUACUAACAUGCAUAAUACACAUCAGGUAGACCUUGUGGCUCUGAGACGUUUGUCACUCUGUCUUCCUUUAAACACAUGCCUAUAAUACUUUGUGUAUGACACAGACAAAAACAUACGCAUCUGUGGUGUGUAUGUGUAUAUUACAGAUAGACACCACUCCAUGAAACUCUCUAGUCUCUCUUAUAAAACACACAGAAUUUAUGCCAUAUGUGGAAAAUUUCUGUACCAAAUUAGAUGUUAAAAGUUUUAUGCAUACUCAGUUGAUUUUUCAAUCACGCUACCAGGAGCUUUUAAGAAAAAGAGAUGUUUCAAAGCUAUCAAAAGGAACUGUUUGCUAUAUGAUUACUGCCAGUGCUUACUUUCAAUUAAAACUAUCCUGACAAAAAGCAAGAAUAAAAAGUAUAUGAAAAUAAGUACCUUGAGAGCCAUUCUGUUACGCUAAUUCUUGCAACUCUUUGUUCCUAAGAGCGCCAGAGGCCAGUUACAAUUCUGGGAGCAGUUCACAAGGAUAUCCCUUUUUACCAAUUCACACUUGGUCUACACUAAUGGUCUUUUUCUUUCUUUUCCUUUUCAAAGUGGCGAUAAAAGCACUGAGCUCUGUGGCUGAGUUCAAAGCUUUGCAUCAGUGGCUGGAGACAGCAGAAGGCAGGCUGCAGCCUGCAGCCACAGGGAGUCGUGCCUUGGAGAUGGGGACACCACUCAUACCACAUCGUUGUGGCCAGUGGGCAGUCAGCAGCUCAGCCUGGCCGCAUGGUCUCCAACACUGUGAGGGCAAACCGCAGCAAGCAUCUGGACAAGCAGAAAAUAUAACACAGCAAGGCUUCUUUUGACCUCUUUCUCACUCACGUGCAAAGCUGCUUUUACUAGAGAAGUCCCAGGGAUGAAGCUUCUUUGGCAGUAUUCUCUGAAUUCCUUGAUAUACAACUGAAGUGCUGAGAAUACUGUAAUAGUCAUUCAUCACAGCACAAAAGAAGCAAAGGCCAAGUCGUUACAGAACGCAUCCAGCAGCUGCACUGAUACUGUUUUGACAGUACUGCCUGAAAGCUGGUUUGUAUCCUAUUUACAAAGUAGGAAUGAAUCUCCCCAUUUACAGUACCAGGAUGGCUGAAGUUCAGAGUGUUUGGCACCGCAGCCUGGAUGGAACUGCAGUGUACAUCACACAGUGGUGAGCUUUAUGUCUAGGGCCUGCUGAUGCAGACAUGUCAUUUAGUCAUGUAAAUGUAGGGAUUUCAUUAAAAAGCAAAGUAAAUAGGUUUGUGCGUAUAGGUACAUAGGUCUUAGCACAUGCAAUUACUUGCCAGACUUUUGAGCAGAAGGCAGUAAGAGCAACAUACGCACGUAUCAAAAUUAUCCUGGGACCUGGACAAAAUGCAAAAGCCUGAAUCGCAGGGAUCCAUGCUGCCCACUCUCCAGCACUGUCCAAUCCGCUAAACACUUGCUCUUAGAAACGUCUUAGACUGCCAUCAAAUCCCUCAAAGCAAAGUUUUGAGUAGGUUCAAAUACAGCCCAAGCUGAGGAAAUGCCACACAUUUCUCACCUAAAAUCUGUCAUGCUCUGGACUAACCAGACAAGAUGUCUGGCUUCUUCUGAAAUCCCCAGCAGCACAUAGCCUAGUGUAGUCUGAGUUCAGCUUUCAGGAUCUCUGGUGAUAGCCAUCUCGCCUUGGAAAUGGGGCACUUCUUGAACUGAGAGGGUUUUAGUCUACAGCUCCUAGACACCAAAAGAAUGUUUAUGUUGCUGUGCAAGGGACAUUCAGAGAAGAGGUGAGCUUUGCUGCUGCUAAAGCUAAGACACUUUGUAGGUGGUGCAUAAAAAGCCACAUAGAGAAGAGGAAAGCAUGAAAGAUAAAUUUAUAUUUGAAUAUAUUUUUAAAAUAUUAUAAGAAAUUGUGUUGACAGUAGGAGGAGAUGAUUGUCCUCCUGUGCUCAGCUCUGGUGAGGCUGCACUUUGAGCACUGU